Gadus morhua (Atlantic cod) is the source of this 710-nucleotide long non-coding RNA. The record is from Ensembl. Lineage: Eukaryota; Metazoa; Chordata; Actinopteri; Gadiformes; Gadidae.
AGGGUGAGGUCGAGGGAGUGAGCGGUGACCCCGCCGAGGGCGACCAGCAGAGACCACCGCGCCGCAGAUUCCGCCCCCCCUUCCGAAGGCAAUUCCGUCCCCGUCCGCCUGCGGCACUUCAAGGGGAGGAGGAGGAGCCUGAGGGGCAGGAGGAGGAGCCUGAGAGGCAGCAGGAGGAGCCCGAGGGGGGGGCUGAGGUGGUCCACACUGUAGGGGACGAGCAGCUGCUGGAUGUGAAGCCCCCGGAGCCCCCGGGAGACCCUCUGGGCGACGGGGAGCUGGCGGAGGGCCAAGGCCAGAGGCACCGGCGACAGUUCGGGCGUCGCAGGCAGAGGAACUCUGACUCCUCCGCCGCAUCUAAAAAUGGAACAGAGAAAUCUGCCUCCGAGCCCAGCACGCCUCCGCCUGUCUCAAAGCCAUCAGUCCUCGCCACUCCUCCACCUGCCUCAAAGCCGUCGGACCUAAAGUCCUCGCCAAAGUCUCCCAAGUCCUCGCCAAAGUCCUCUCCCAAAACCACAAAAUCCCUUGAGUCGCCUGCCAAAACGGUUCCCACGGCAACGGAAUGACUCCGGGGAGAGACUCCAGCGUCGCGAUGCCCACGGAAAGAGGUGUGUACCUCUUCUGGUGGUCAGUGAGCCAUUUCCUUUAUUUAUUUUUUGUUUGGACGGUGUGGGCCUCGGCACUAAUCUCUGGCCUUGUGUCCGGCGCUA